RNAcentral lists this ribosomal RNA (492 nucleotides) under uncultured bacterium. Its description in RNAcentral is "partial 16S ribosomal RNA". It matches the Rfam family "Bacterial small subunit ribosomal RNA", at positions 29 to 507 of the family's 1533-position model. The record is from RNAcentral.
AGUGAACGCUGGCGGUAGGCCUAACACAUGCAAGUCGAACGGCAGCACAGUAAGAGCUUGCUCUUACGGGUGGCGAGUGGCGGACGGGUGAGGAAUACAUCGGAAUCUACUUUUUCGUGGGGGAUAACGUAGGGAAACUUACGCUAAUACCGCAUACGACCUACGGGUGAAAGCAGGGGAUCUUCGGACUUUGCGCGAUUGAAUGAGCCGAUGUCGGAUUAGCUAGUUGGCGGGGUAAAGGCACACCAAGGCGACGAUCCGUAGCUGGUCUGAGAGGAUGAUCAGCCACACUGGAACUGAGACACGGUCCAGACUCCUACGGGAGGCAGCAGUGGGGAAUAUUGGACAAUGGGCGCAAGCCUGAUCCAGCCAUACCGCGUGGGUGAAGAAGGCCUUCGGGUUGUAAAGCCCUUUUGUUGGGAAAGAAAAGCAGCAGGUUAAUACCCCGCUGUUCUGACGGUACCCAAAGAAUAAGCACCGGCUAACUUCGUG